CAGUGGCAGACGGGUGAGUAACGCGUAGGAAUCUACCCCUGGGUAUGGUAUAGCUGGCCGAAAGGUCGGGUAAUCCCAUAUAGUCUCGUAAGAGUAAAGGACUUAACGGUCCGCCGAGGGAGGAGCCUGCGUCCUAUCAGCUAGUUGGUGAGGUAAAGGCUCACCAAGGCGAUGACGGGUAGCUGGACUGAGAGGUCGAUCAGCCACAACUGCACUGAGACACGGGCAGUACACCUACGGGUGGCAGCAACCAGGAAUAUUGCGCAAUGGACGAAAGUCUGACGCAGCGACGCCGCGUGGAGGAAGACGGCCUUAGGGUUGUAAACUCCUUUUGCCAAGCCGUUCACAGCUUGGAGAAUAAGCCUCUACUAACUACGUGCCAGAAGUCUCGGUAAUACGUAGGAGGCGAGCGUUAUCCGGAUUUACUGGGCGUAAAGUGUGCGUAGGCGCCCCAUUAAGUCGUGCUUUAAAUACUAAGGCUUACCCUUAGAGCUGAGUACGAUACUGUUGGGGUUGAGGAUUGACAGGGAAGCUGGAACAGUGCGUGUAGCAGUGAAAUGCGUUGAUAUGCACUGGAACACCAAGGGCGAAGGCAGGCUUCUGGGUUUUUCC
This 612-nucleotide ribosomal RNA is filed under the name uncultured bacterium. RNAcentral describes it as "bacterial SSU rRNA". It matches the Rfam family "Bacterial small subunit ribosomal RNA", at positions 93 to 740 of the family's 1533-position model. The record is from RNAcentral.